RNAcentral lists this ribosomal RNA (446 nucleotides) under uncultured bacterium. RNAcentral describes it as "bacterial SSU rRNA". It matches the Rfam family "Bacterial small subunit ribosomal RNA", at positions 355 to 825 of the family's 1533-position model. The record is from RNAcentral.
UCGGGAAUUUUGGGCAAUGGGCGAAAGCCUGACCCAGCAACGCCGCGUGAAGGAUGAAGUAUUUCGGUAUGUAAACUUCGAAAGAAUAGGAAGAAUAAAUGACGGUACUAUUUAUAAGGUCCGGCUAACUACGUGCCAGCAGCCGCGGUAAUACGUAGGGACCAAGCGUUGUUCGGAUUUACUGGGCGUAAAGGGCGCGUAGGCGGCAUGACAAGUCACUUGUGAAAUCUCUGGGCUUAACCCAGAACGGCCAAGUGAUACUGUCGCGCUAGAGUGCAGAAGGGGCAAUCGGAAUUCUUGGUGUAGCGGUGAAAUGCGUAGAUAUCAAGAGGAACACCUGAGGUGAAGACGGGUUGCUGGGCUGACACUGACGCUGAGGCGCGAAAGCCAGGGGAGCAACGGGAUUAGAUACCCACGUAGUCCCUGAGCGGGCUGGCAAGGCGCAU